CAGCCGCCGUGGGAAUACGUAGGUGGCAAGCGUUGUCCGGAAUUAUUGGGCGUAAAGGGCUCGCAGGCGGUUUCUUAAGUCUGAUGUGAAAGCCCCCGGCUCAACCGGGGAGGGUCAUUGGAAACUGGGAAACUUGAGUGCAGAAGAGGAGAGUGGAAUUCCACGUGUAGCGGUGAAAUGCGUAGAGAUGUGGAGGAACACCAGUGGCGAAGGCGACUCUCUGGUCUGUAACUGACGCUGAGGAGCGAAAGCGUGGGGAGCGAACAGGAUUAGAUACCCCUGUAGUCCCUGUCUCUUAUAC
RNAcentral lists this ribosomal RNA (301 nucleotides) under uncultured bacterium. RNAcentral describes it as "partial 16S ribosomal RNA". It matches the Rfam family "Bacterial small subunit ribosomal RNA", at positions 509 to 807 of the family's 1533-position model. The record is from RNAcentral.